Molecule: microRNA precursor, 61 nt
Filed under: Ornithorhynchus anatinus (platypus)
Lineage: Eukaryota; Metazoa; Chordata; Mammalia; Monotremata; Ornithorhynchidae
Description: Oan-Mir-181-P2a_pre stem-loop
Rfam family: mir-181 microRNA precursor family
About the family: In this case the mature sequence comes from the 5' arm of the precursor.
Source: RNAcentral
AACAUUCAUUGCUGUCGGUGGGUUUAACUCUGAGGACAAGCUCACUGAACAAUGAAUGGAA